CGUGCAGGCGGUCUGUUAAGUCUGGCGUGAAAGCUCUCGGCUAAACCGGGAGAGGUCGUUGGAUACUGACGGACUAGAGGACGGUAGAGGCGUGUGGAAUUCCGGGUGUAGUGGUGAAAUGCGUAGAGAUCCGGAGGAACACCAGUGGCGAAGGCGACACGCUGGGCCGUACCUGACGCUAAGACGCGACAGCAUGGGGAGCGAACGGGAUUAGAAACCCCGGUAGUCCAUGCCGUAAACGAUGCCAGCUAGGUGUUCAAGACGCGCAAGCGGCUGGGGUACCGAAGCAAACGCGAUAAGCUGGCCGCCUGGGGAGUACGGUCGCAAGGCUAAA
This 334-nucleotide ribosomal RNA is filed under the name uncultured bacterium. RNAcentral describes it as "bacterial SSU rRNA". It matches the Rfam family "Bacterial small subunit ribosomal RNA", at positions 568 to 898 of the family's 1533-position model. The record is from RNAcentral.